RNAcentral lists this ribosomal RNA (445 nucleotides) under uncultured bacterium. Its description in RNAcentral is "bacterial SSU rRNA". It matches the Rfam family "Bacterial small subunit ribosomal RNA", at positions 354 to 796 of the family's 1533-position model. The record is from RNAcentral.
GUGAGGAAUAUUGCGCAAUGGAGGCAACUCUGACGCAGCCAUGCCGCGUGCAGGAAGAAGGCGCUACGCGUUGUAAACUGCUUUUAACCGGGAAGAAACCCCAGGACGUGUCCUGGGUUGACGGUACCGGAGGAAUAAGCACCGGCUAACUUCGUGCCAGCAGCCGCGGUAAUACGAAGGGUGCAAGCGUUAUCCGGAUUCAUUGGGUUUAAAGGGUGCGUAGGCGGAGCGUUAAGUCAGUGGUGAAAUCCUGCAGCUUAAGUGUAGACUUGCCAUUGAUACUGGCGCUCUUGAGUGCGCUUGAAGUGUGCGGAAUGUGCCGUGUAUCGGUGAAAUGCUUAGACAUGGCCCAGAACACCAAUUGCGAAGGCAGCUCACUAAGGCGAUACUGACGCUGAGGCACGAAAGCGUGGGGAUCGAACAGGAUUAGAUACCCCAGUAGUCC